This 643-nucleotide long non-coding RNA is filed under the name Mytilus galloprovincialis (Mediterranean mussel). Lineage: Eukaryota; Metazoa; Mollusca; Bivalvia; Mytilida; Mytilidae. The record is from RNAcentral.
GUCCGUCAGACAGGAUUCACCUGACCCCGAAUUUGCCUCAUUUCAUGGAUGAAGAUUCAUUUUGUGGUCAAGUCCGUAUCGCGGAUUCGUUAAGCUUAAGGAUAACUAUCUGUUGUUAUGAUUGUAAGGUGAACAUUUUCGACUUCAGCAAGGUUUCAAAUAACAUCUAACUCAUUAUCAUGCAUCAUGUUCGUUUUAUGUUGUUUAGCCUUUUGGAUAUAUACCUGUAUGUUAUAGCGCCAAGUUAUUUCGUGUAUGGUGUACAUGUCUGUCUGCAUGUUUCAUAUAUGACCAUGAUGACUUCAAUUGUUUUUGAUAUAUUGCAUGAUAGUAAGAUGUCUAUGUCUGGCUGUCGGUCAGGGUUCAUAUACUUUUGACCUUAUGUUCCGAAUUAAUUGGCCAAGCAUAACUUUUACAUUUGUCAGUUUCUAAGGCACUGUAAGAAUCGGAACACAUUUAUUUGGUGUACAGGAUAUUUGUAGAGAUCUGUAUGACAUAGUAUUCUUACCUUGAACUCUUUUUAUGAACCAUUGACAAUCUUAAGUGCAUUUGACACUUCUAGUAAAACCCUUGAUAUUAUAGACGUUCAACAAAUAUACUAUCAUAAGUAAAGCAGACGAGACAUUACAGCAUUUGCGCUCUG